Molecule: long non-coding RNA, 1386 nt
Organism: Cercocebus atys (sooty mangabey)
Lineage: Eukaryota; Metazoa; Chordata; Mammalia; Primates; Cercopithecidae
Exons: 2
Source: RefSeq, a predicted model, not a curated record
GCCCCUCCGCGCCCUAUCCCUGGCCGGGCCGCCCGCCAGGCCGCGGUUUCCCGGAGCCGGCCCCCUCCCGCCCUCGCGGCCGGCUGAUGUCAUCUGCACACAACUUUCCGCUUCCCGGCCCGUCUCGGGGCCCUGAGUCAUCGCCGCCCCCGGCCCCGACGCUGGCCUGCGGCGUCUGUUUGUGCAGAGCGAGGCCCCGCCGGCCGGGCCUGACGUCAGGCUGGCAGGGCCUGGAACGGCCCCGCGCCGCUGCCCCCUGGGGGCAGGACAACACCUCUGGGGGCCGAGGGCAGGGCUCGCCCUCGGAAUCCGGCUUCGAAGCCGGCGCCACCUUGUGCCGGCCGCCUGACCUGAGGCAACUCUGUGCUUUCAACUCUCUGAACUUCGGUUUCCUCAUCUGCCAGUUGGCAGACGCUCAGCGAAUCUUCCUAGACUCACGGGGCGAAUUGUACAGUUGGGUAAAUCGAGGCCCAGAGAUGGGAAAAGGACGUCCAAGGUCGUACAGCCACCCGGAAUUACAGUUCCUUUCUGCCGGGUCACACGCUACCUUCCACGUGUUACCUAAGAGAGCUUUCCAGCCUGUGCUGAGAAAACCGCCCUACAUCGUCUGCAGCAGGACUGGGGGGCUGGAGCCCUGGUCAGGCCACUCUGCUUCUGGCCACAGUUUUCUCAUCUCUAAAAAGGCACAGUAACAAUAUAAUGACCGUGUGGAGUCCCCCAGGAUACAGGGUCAAAGGAGAGCACAACCAUCGCAGUUUCAAGCCCAUGGGGCAGAAACGAGGUCUCGCUGUGUUACCCGGGCUGGAGUGCAGUGGCUACUUACAGGCAUGAUCAUAGCACACUGCAGCCUCGAACUCCUGGACUAAAGCAGUUCUCCUGCCUCAGCCUCCAAAGCAGCUGGGACUGCAGACACACACCACAGACAGAGCCCAGCCUGAGUCAUUCUGAUUCUGUAACUGGCUUCCUCUCGGUGAGCUGGCUCACACCCUCCACCCCCAGCUGGAGAAGGAAAGAGGAUGCUCACCGUUCAUUCCUCAUGCAGGCCAUCGAUGGAAAUGUCAGAUAGUGCGAGUCCACGCCUGAACACCUCUGGGGUCCGCUCUGGGACUGACACUGGCAGAUUCAUCGAUGAGCUCCCGCCUGCCACCUCUGGGCCUGCAUUGCGGUGAUAUGGCCAAGGGCCUGGGUCUUCAAUUCUCCAGACUUGCCGAAUGCACAGCGCAGGCUUCGUCGGCAACUGCAGACAAGCAGAGGCAGCACCUGGGCUCUGCCUGUGCCUGGUACAGUGAGGCGAGGGUGGGGGUAGGAAUGAGGGUCCUCUCCGUGCAAGGGGGGAAGAUAGAAGAACAGAAUUUCACCCUAACAUAGUGUCUUUAGACCAUGAAA